GGAAGUUGGAAACGGAGACGGAGAAGUGAACGCCGGUGAGAAAGAGUAAUGCGCGCCUGGGAGUGCUUCGGUCGGAAGAGAGAGUGUGGAGUGAAGUGUUUGAGAGAUAAAAGAAAAGUGAAACAAGGCUGUAUGUAAGUGUAUAUAUAGCUGUGGGAAGUGGGGGACAGCUGCGCCAGGUGGCGUGCCGUGACUGGCUUGGCGUGGAGAAGGCUUUGAUGACG
RNAcentral lists this long non-coding RNA (224 nucleotides) under Daucus carota (carrot). RNAcentral's name for it is "long non-coding RNA (DCAR_LNC001868)". The record is from RNAcentral. Lineage: Eukaryota; Viridiplantae; Streptophyta; Magnoliopsida; Apiales; Apiaceae.